GGUUAAAAAGCUCGUAGUUGGAUUUCUGUUGAGGUCGGGCGGUGUACACCUCGUGUAUUAUUUGCUUCGGUCUCGGCAUCCUCUUGGGGAACGUUCAGGACUUUAUUGGACUGGGCGAGAUUCAAGACUUUUACUUUGAGGAAAUUAGAGUGUUCACGGCAGGCAAGUGCUUUGAAUACAUUAGCAUGGAAUAAUAAUAUAGGACCUUCGUUCUAUUUUGUUGGUUUCUAGAACUUAGGUAAUGAUUAAUAGGGACAAUUGGGGGCAUUCGUAUUAACGCGUCAGAGGUGGAAUUCUUGGAUUGCGUUACGACGAACUACUGCGAAAGCAUUUGCCAAAGAUGUUUUCAUUGAUCAAGAACGAAAGUAUGGGGAUCGAAGACGC
Molecule: ribosomal RNA, 384 nt
Filed under: uncultured marine eukaryote
Lineage: Eukaryota
Description: SSU rRNA
Rfam family: Eukaryotic small subunit ribosomal RNA
Source: RNAcentral